This 860-nucleotide ribosomal RNA is filed under the name uncultured Lyngbya sp. Its description in RNAcentral is "bacterial SSU rRNA". It matches the Rfam family "Bacterial small subunit ribosomal RNA", at positions 12 to 911 of the family's 1533-position model. The record is from RNAcentral. Lineage: Bacteria; Bacillati; Cyanobacteriota; Cyanophyceae; Oscillatoriales; Microcoleaceae.
UUUGAUCCUGGCUCAGGAUGAACGCUGGCGGUCUGCUUAACACAUGCAAGUCGAACGAAUCCCUUCGGGGAUUAGUGGCGGACGGGUGAGUAGCGCGUGAGAAUCUGCCUUCAGGUUCGGGACAACCACUGGAAACGGUGGCUAAUACCGAAUGUGCCGCAACGUGAAAGAUUUAUCGCCUGAAGAUGAGCUCGCGUCCGAUUAGCUAGUUGGUGAGGUAAAAGCUCACCAAGGCGACGAUCGGUAGCUGGUCUGAGAGGAUGACCAGCCACACUGGGACUGAGACACGGCCCAGACUCCUACGGGAGGCAGCAGUGAGGAAUUUUCCGCAAUGGGCGCAAGCCUGACGGAGCAAGACCGCGUGAGGGAGGAAGGCCCAAGCGGUUGUAAACCUCUUUUCUCAGGGAAGAAGAAAGUGACGGUACCUGAGGAAUCAGCCUCGGCUAACUCCGUGCCAGCAGCCGCGGUAAUACGGAGGAUGCAAGCGUUAUCCGGAAUUAUUGGGCGUAAAGCGUCCGCAGGUGGUUGUGCAAGUCUGCCGUUAAAACCAGUGGCUUAACCACUGACAGGCGGUGGAAACUGCACAGCUAGAGUGUGGUAGGGGCAGAGGGAAUUCCCAGUGUAGCGGUGAAAUGCGUAGAGAUUGGGAAGAACACCGGUGGCGAAAGCGCUCUGCUGGACCACAACUGACACUCACAGGACGAAAGCUAGGGGAGCGAAAGGGAUUAGAUACCCCUGUAGUCCUAGCCGUAAACGAUGGAUACUAGGUGUUGUGAGUAUCGACCCUCACAGUGCCGUAGCCAACGCGUUAAGUAUCCCGCCUGGGGAGUACGCACGCAAGAGUGAAACUCAAAUGAAUU